This is a long non-coding RNA of Salvia miltiorrhiza (redroot sage), 582 nucleotides long. RefSeq lists it as uncharacterized. NCBI's taxonomy places the organism in Eukaryota, Viridiplantae, Streptophyta, Magnoliopsida, Lamiales, Lamiaceae. The transcript is spliced from 2 exons. The record is from RefSeq and is a predicted model, not a curated record.
CAUAGAGAAUAACCCCUAAAAAAAGAAUAGAGAAUGAUUCUAAGCCUUUAGAUCUAAAGAAUCGGAUGGUGUAGAUAAAUUCGAAAAAAAUAAAAAUAAAAACUGAAAACUGCGUGGACUACAGAAUUUUACCAAAUCAGAAUGCGGAGGGUUUUUUUCGGAAAUUCACCACAAAGGUAAAUCAAGUAGUUCCGAAAAUCACUCCAUCCAUCUUUCAUCUACGAAAUUCACUAUCGCCGUUUCAACCAUUCUCGAAUAGGGUUUUCGAAAAUUCACUCUUCCAUCGCUGCGAAUUAGAAGAUUUGAAGUCGCCAUUUGGAGUAUCUUCGAGAUUUGGAGAAGAGUAAACAACGAUUAGAAGACUUGAUGACGAAAUUGGGAGAGCCGUGUUUUCCUGGAAGUCAGUGGAGAUGCACUUGAAGAUGUAUGCUGUGAUUUGUUGAUUUAGUCGCAGAGCUUCUUGUUCAUUGGAUUGAAUAUUUUAUUCAUCGAUAAUUGUGUUAUGUUCAUUAAGCAAUUGUUAUUUGUUCAUUGAAAAUUUGUUAUUAUUCAUUGCAAACUAUAUUCAUGAAUUUUCAGUAA